CAGCAGCCGCGGUAAUACAGAGGGUGCGAGCGUUAAUCGGAUUUACUGGGCGUAAAGCGUGCGUAGGCGGCUUCUUAAGUCGGAUGUGAAAUCCCUGAGCUUAACUUAGGAAUUGCAUUCGAUACUGGGAAGCUAGAGUAUGGGAGAGGAUGGUAGAAUUCCAGGUGUAGCGGUGAAAUGCGUAGAGAUCUGGAGGAAUACCGAUGGCGAAGGCAGCCAUCUGGCCUAAUACUGACGCUGAGGUACAAAAGCAUGGGGAGCAAACAGGAUUAGAUACCCCCGUAGUCCCUGUCUCUUAUAC
RNAcentral lists this ribosomal RNA (301 nucleotides) under uncultured bacterium. RNAcentral's name for it is "partial 16S ribosomal RNA". It matches the Rfam family "Bacterial small subunit ribosomal RNA", at positions 509 to 807 of the family's 1533-position model. The record is from RNAcentral.